This 428-nucleotide ribosomal RNA is filed under the name uncultured archaeon. RNAcentral's name for it is "bacterial SSU rRNA". It matches the Rfam family "Archaeal small subunit ribosomal RNA", at positions 474 to 901 of the family's 1478-position model. The record is from RNAcentral.
UACCAGCUCUUCGAGUGGUGUGGAUGUUUAUUGGGCCUAAAGCAUCCGUAGCUGGCUGGGCAAGUCCCCUGUUAAAUCCACCGGUUUAAUCGUUGGAGUGCGGGGGAUACUGUUCGGCUAGGGGACGGGAGAGGCAGACGGUAUUUUCGGGGUAGGGGUGAAAUCCUAUAAUCCCGGGAAGACCACCAGUGGCGAAGGCUGUCUGCUAGAACGCGCCCGACGGUGAGGGAUGAAAGCUGGGGGAGCGAACCGGAUUAGAUACCCGGGUAGUCCCAGCUGUAAACGAUGCAGGCUAGGUGUUUGGGCGGCCACGUGCCGCUCUAGUGCCGCAGGGAAGCCGUUAAGCCUGCCGCCUGGGGAGUACGGCCGCAAGGCUGAAACUUAAAGGAAUUGGCGGGGGAGCACCACGAAGGGGUGAAGCUUGCGUU